Molecule: long non-coding RNA, 1098 nt
Organism: Cyprinus carpio carpio
Lineage: Eukaryota; Metazoa; Chordata; Actinopteri; Cypriniformes; Cyprinidae
Source: Ensembl
CAACAACACUAGAAAGUACAACAGCAGAGACAACAAUAACAACAGACAGCACCACAAUGGAUACUACAACAACACAAAGCACCACCACCGGUACCACAACUUUAGAAAGUACAACAGCAGAAACUUCAAUAACCACUGAAAGCAUCACAACAGACAUUACAACUACAGAAAGCACAACUGAAUCCACAACAACAGAAAGUACAACAAUAACAGAAAGUACCACAGUGGGUAGUACAGCAACAGAAAGCACUACCAUAGGUACAACAACUCCAGAAAGUACAACAGUGGAAACCACAAUAAUAGAUGCUACAACAUCAGAAAGUACCACCACCAUUACCACAGCUUCAGAAAGUACAACAGAAAGCACCACAACAACAGACAGCACCACCACGAUGGACACUACAACAACAGAAAGCACAACACCUGAGGCAACAUCAUCGGAAAGCACUACAAUAACAGAAAGUACAACCACCAGUACCACAACUCCAGAAAGUACAACAAUGGAGACGGCAACAUCAGAAAGCACCACAACUGAAGGAACAACAGACAGCACCACCACUGAAAGCACCACAAUGGAGACCACAACAAAAGGAAGUACAACUACUGGCACCACAACUCCAGAAAGUACUACCAAAGAGACCACAACAGACAUUACAACAACAGAAAGCACCACCACCGGUACCACAACUUUAGAAAGUACAACACCAGAAACUUCAAUAACAAUUGAAAGCACCACAACUGAUUCAACAACAGAAAGUACAACAUCCGGUGACACAACACCAGAAAGUACAACAGCAGAGACAACAAUAACAACAGACAGCACCACAAUCGAUACUACAACAACAAAAAGCACCACCACUGGUACCACAACUUUAGAAAGUACAACACCAGAAACUUCAACAACAACUGAAAGCACCACAUCUGAGACAACAACAGGAAGUACAACCACAGGCACCACAACAGAAAGUACAACCACUGGUACCACAACACCAGAAAGUACAACAGCAGAGACAACAAUAGCAACAGACAGCACCACAAUCGAUGCUACAACAACAGAAAGCAACACCACCGUUACCACAACUUUAGCAAGUACAGCAG